GAUGAACGCUGGCGGCGUGCCUAAUACAUGCAAGUCGAGCGAACAGACGAGGAGCUUGCUCCUCUGACGUUAGCGGCGGACGGGUGAGUAACACGUGGAUAACCUACCUAUAAGACUGGGAUAACUUCGGGAAACCGGAGCUAAUACCGGAUAAUAUAUUGAACCGGAUGGUUCAAUAGUGAAAGACGGUUUUGCUGUAACUUAUAGAUGGAUCUGCGCCGCAUUAGCUCGUUGGUAAGGUAACGGCUUCCCACGGCGACGCUGCGUAGCCGACCUGAGAGGGUGAUCGGCCACACUGGAACUGAGACACGGUCCAGACUCCUACGGGAGGCAGCAUUAGGGAAUCUUCCGCAAUGGGCGAAAGCCUGACGGAGCAACGCCGCGUGAGUGAUGAAGGUCUUCGGAUCGUAAAACUCUGUUAUUAGGGAAGAACAAAUGUGUAAGUAACUAUGCACGUCUUGACGGUACCUAAUCAGAAAGCCACGGCUAACUACGUG
RNAcentral lists this ribosomal RNA (497 nucleotides) under uncultured bacterium. RNAcentral's name for it is "partial 16S ribosomal RNA". It matches the Rfam family "Bacterial small subunit ribosomal RNA", at positions 28 to 507 of the family's 1533-position model. The record is from RNAcentral.